AGUGGACGCUGGCGGUAGGCCUAACACAUGCAAGUCGAACGGCAGCACAGUAAGAGCUUGCUCUUACGGGUGGCGAGUGGCGGACGGGUGAGGAAUACAUCGGAAUCUACUUUUUCGUGGGGGAUAACGUAGGGAAGCUUACGCUAAUACCGCAUACGACCUACGGGUGAAAGCAGGGGAUCUUCGGACCUUGCGCGAUUGAAUGAGCCGAUGUCGGAUUAGCUAGUUGGCGGGGUAAAGGCCCACCAAGGCGACGAUCCGUAGCUGGUCUGAGAGGAUGAUCAGCCACACUGGAACUGAGACACGGUCCAGACUCCUACGGGAGGCAGCAGUGGGGAAUAUUGGACAAUGGGCGCAAGCCUGAUCCAGCCAUACCGCAUGGGUGAAGAAGGCCUUCGGGUUGUAAAGCCCUUUUGUUGGGAAAGAAAAGCAGCAGGUUAAUACCCCGCUGUUCUGACGGUACCCAAAGAAUAAGCACCGGCUAACUUCGUG
Molecule: ribosomal RNA, 492 nt
Filed under: uncultured bacterium
Lineage: Bacteria
Description: partial 16S ribosomal RNA
Rfam family: Bacterial small subunit ribosomal RNA
Source: RNAcentral